AUGAUUUUAGAUGAAUGCGCACCUGUGAAAACUCGAACUGUUUCAUUUGUGCAUUCAGCUCCUUGGUUUACACCUGAACUGCGUGAACUUAAAACUAAAGGCCGUAGGUUAGAGCGGCUGUACGUCAGGUCUGGCCUUACUGUUCAUAAAGAAAUGUAUGCUGAACAUAUUCAAAAUUAUAAAAAUGCACUGACUACAGCUAAAUCCGAUUACUACUCCAAUGUAAUUGGAGUUAGCAAUGGGAACUCUAGGUCUCUUUUCUUGGUGGUAAACAAUAUUCUGAAACCACCUGAUUCUUUGCCAUCUGAUAUGUAUUCCACUGACUUAUGUGAUCGCUUUUUGACUUUUUUUACAUCUAAGGUUGAAAAUGUACAUCGGCAAUUACUUACUGGUACUCUUUACAAUGACUCCUGUCAGUCUAUCACUCACACACCUCCCCACUCUGUUUUCUCUAACUUUACACUACCAACUAUUUCAGAGAUAGUGGGUCUGAUAGGUAAAUCUAAAUCUUCGACUUGUCAGUUAGACCCUCUACCAACUCCUUUAGUAAAAGCUUGUUUACCAGCCCUUUUGCCGUUGAUUACUAAAAUUGUUCAUGCUUCACUUGGUUCUGGUUUUGUAUCUCCAUCUCUUAAAUCUGCUAUUAUUACACCCAUACUUAAGAAACCAGGGGGUGAUCCAUUUGAUUUUGAAAAUUUUCGUCCAAUUUCAAAUUUACCAUUCAUCUCUAAGGUAGUUGAAAAGUGUAUUGCAAUUCAAAUUCAUGAACAUCUGUCCAAUAACAACUUGUAUGAACAAUUCCAAUCUGGUUUUCGUCCCCACCACAGCACUGAAACUGCUCUUGUCAGAAUAACCAAUGAUCUACUGUUGGCAGCUGACUCUGGGCUUUUAACUAUACUUGUCCUUCUUGACUUGAGCGCUGCCUUUGAUACUGUCUCACAUAACAUACUUCUUGACAGAUUAGUUUCCAUUGGUAUUACUGGCACUGCUCUGUCUAAGACUAUCUACAGUCACCACUGGUGUUCCCCAGGGUUCUGUUUUGGGCCCGCUUCUCUUCAUUAUAUAUAUGCUCCCUCUUGGUGA
Molecule: long non-coding RNA, 1083 nt
Organism: Cyprinus carpio (common carp)
Lineage: Eukaryota; Metazoa; Chordata; Actinopteri; Cypriniformes; Cyprinidae
Source: Ensembl